This is a long non-coding RNA of Dendrobium catenatum, 2693 nucleotides long. RefSeq lists it as uncharacterized. The transcript has 2 exons. Lineage: Eukaryota; Viridiplantae; Streptophyta; Magnoliopsida; Asparagales; Orchidaceae. The record is from RefSeq and is a predicted model, not a curated record.
AUUGUUAUCUAAAAUUAAUUUCUACUUCAUAAUUAGUUUGUUGCUCUUUAGUUAAAACCUUAGAGUAACCAAGUCACCCUUUUUUGAUGUGCCAUAGCACUUUCAGCCACUUUACCUGCUCGCUUGUGCUCCCAUAUUUUGCCACAUAGCCCCUACAUCUUUUUAUUCCUCUUCUUCAGCAAAAAAAAUAUCAAAUUCAUUUAAUAUUAUUUGCAAUCCAUGUAUAAACUUAGCCCAACUUAACUCAAAUAGCCUAAUUCAACCGUAAGCACAAGUGGACAAAAUGAGGAUCAAAUUAAAUUUAUUAAUACUUGACUGGAUUAGUCUCGGAAUGUGGAUAAAGAACUUCAAGCUCGCAAAGAUAUUUUUGUAGUCUUGUGAAACUUUUCUUGAGGAUAUAUGAAUGUGUCUUUUACUGAUAUUGUUGAUGUAAUGAUGCUCUUUCGUUUUGUUGCUUCCUCUAUGGGAUGGAUGAGCCAUUCAUUACUUAUACUUUGGGAUAAGUUUCACAUUAUUCUUGUUUCCUUGAGUUCUAUAUUGCUAGCAUUACAGUAUACUUGUUGACUAUGUGUUAUUCUUGUAACAUAUCAUUUCUCAGCAUUAUAUUUUUUGCAACAUAGGAGAAUUGACAUUGUUACAAGUCCAUCUCAGUUUAUUAUGAGUCUAUGUUUUAAGUAUCAUUUAAUUUACAUUGUGUUGAUCUUUAUUUCAUUUAAGUUAAUGAUGAAUGGUUAACGUCAUUUAUUAUUUAGGAUUAAUUUGAAAUUCAAUAUUUGUUUAAAUAUAGUGUCACCAUUUGGAGUAAGGCAUGUUUCUUUAAAUAGGAUUAGUAUCCUGUAAUUCAGUCAAUGCUGAUGACGGAAUAAAGAAAUGGUUUUCUUGUGGCCUCCCCUCUUAUGAAUCUUUCUCCCUUUUGGGGUUUCUGUCUAUAAUUUAUCUUUGAAACCUAAUACCUCCUUUUAUUAGAAGUAUUCAUUUGUCGUGUUUUCAAUCCUUUACUUAUUAUCAUUUUGGUUCUUCCUCUUCACCCGAUUUUCCCUUCUCGAUAGUUAACUGCCAAUGAUUUAUCGCAAUCUUUUAUUUUUUCUGCCUCACUUAUUAUCAUAUACACUCCAUAUUUCUAUACAAGUUGGCAUUUUUGGUUUUCCUGACCAUACUUGAGGCCCAUCUUUUAAUUGGGAUAUCUAAGAUUAGAGCCUCCAUUAUAUUUUCAAAUAAGAGCACCAUCUUUAUAUCAGAAGUUAAAAUACAAUAUUUGAAUUGAUGAUAACAUUUGUGGCCAAUGAUUGUUGUUUGGUUGUGGGGAGUGAUUGUAAAAAGACACCAAUGAUUAGUGAAUCUACAGGGCAAGAGACUUUGUGAGACUCUAAGGUCGAUGACAUUGUGAGAAGCCAGCGUGAAGUAGGUUGGUGAGCUGCAGGGGCCAACUCAACAUGUUCAAUUACUCUUAACUUUGAGCAGAUGGUAGAGAUGGGUGGGGUUGGUUGGACCAACAAUACAAACACAACAUUGAGGAAAAACCAAAUUUCUAUGUGAAAGGAUAGAUAUUUUAAAAGAGUUCGAUGACAAAGUGGCUUGAGGAUAUCUACUAGAUUUAAGGGCUGAUAUAUGGCAAUGAUGUGAAAUUUGCAUUUGGGGAAUGAGGAAAAUUCACAGUACUAUCGGAAUAGGCAUUAAUAGGUUGGAGAUAGAUCUAGGUGUAUGUAAUAUGAUAGGUUAUGGGAUUAGGAUGGUUUUUAAAAUGGGAUGUUUUAGGGGUAUAAGUGAGCCGAGCCGUCUCAAACUUUACUCUUAACGAGCUCACAAGUCGAGCUUAUUGAGUUCUGAGAGGUCAAGCUCGAACCGGUAUAUUAUACGAGCUCGAGCUAGGGCUCAGUCUGGCUCGACUUGAAAGCUUAUCGAGCUAUUUGAUUUAUAUAUCAAAAAAUUAAUCUUUUUUAAAUAUUAACUUAUAUUAUACGGAAGGAAAGAAACCCUGGCCACCAUACAUCUUUCAUAAAAUCGUAAUACGUGACGACUGCGCUGCUACUGCGAAUAACUUUAUGUGCCUGGACUAAAAUUGCUAGGUUUUUCUCCUUCCCGUGGUUGACAUUUCGGACUAUUGCAAUUCAAGCUGUGGCUCUUCUUCUAUUUCAUCGGCCUGCACCUGUAUGUUCUCACGUCGUGUAUCCCAGAAGAAAGAGAGCAACGAGAAGAGUGUGUAGGCGUGAGAUUCUUCUCCUUCAAGAUAGCAAGAAAAAAAAUAGAAUUUAGUUUGAGUUUCAUCUAGCCACUUACGUGCAAAGUGGGGAAUGGUGACUCGAAGGACCUCAGACGACGCUAAGAGGUUCAACGAGCUCGAGAGAGAGCUGAAAUUGUGCAGCUUGCUCAAAUAAAGGAGAGUUGGAUUUCAGUUGCUUGAGUUGUCUUGUUUUCUCGAGUUCUUGUAGAGUGGUGAGGUAGUUUGCCAGUUCAAAUAUUUCUUGCUGUCUUUCCAAGUUUCUUCCUUUUGUUUUCUAGUUCUUUAUGAAUUAUCGGAAUAGGGCAGCCUGUUCGUUUCCUUUUGAUUUGGCCUGCAUCCAAUUUCAUAAAAAAAGUGAAAAAAAAAUGUUUAAAAGGAGAUUACAGAUUUCAUCUUGAAAUUCAAUUUUCAAUGUGUUGUGGGCUUCUCCAGCUUGUGGAUAUCUUGAUUGUAUUGUGUGUUAAAGUUGAAA